This 641-nucleotide ribosomal RNA is filed under the name uncultured bacterium. RNAcentral's name for it is "bacterial SSU rRNA". It matches the Rfam family "Bacterial small subunit ribosomal RNA", at positions 93 to 767 of the family's 1533-position model. The record is from RNAcentral.
GAGUGGCGGACGGGUGAGUAUCGCGUAGGGAUCUAUCCAUGGGUGGGGGAUAACAUCGGGAAACUGGUGCUAAUACCGCAUGAUACCUGAGGGUCAAAGGCGCAAGUCGCCUGUGGAGGAGCCUGCGUUCGAUUAGCUUGUUGGUGGGGUAAAGGCCUACCAAGGCGAUGAUCGAUAGCUGGUCUGAGAGGAUGAUCAGCCACACUGGGACUGAGACACGGCCCAGACUCCUACGGGAGGCAGCAGUGGGGAAUAUUGGACAAUGGGCGAAAGCCUGAUCCAGCAAUGCCGCGUGUGUGAAGAAGGUCUUCGGAUUGUAAAGCACUCUCGACGGGGACGAUGAUGACGGUACCCGUAGAAGAAGCCCCGGCUAACUUCGUGCCAGCAGCCGCGGUAAUACGAAGGGGGCUAGCGUUGCUCGGAAUGACUGGGCGUAAAGGGCGCGUAGGCGGUUUACACAGUCAGAUGUGAAAUUCCAGGGCUUAACCUUGGGGCUGCAUUUGAUACGUGUAGGCUAGAGUGUGAGAGAGGGUUGUGGAAUUCCCAGUGUAGAGGUGAAAUUCGUAGAUAUUGGGAAGAACACCGGUGGCGAAGGCGGCAACCUGGCUCAUUACUGACGCUGAGGCGCGAAAGCGUGGGGA